This is an RNA transcript of Centrocercus urophasianus (Greater sage-grouse), 4087 nucleotides long. It is a transcript of the gene named paraspeckle component 1, with no coding region annotated. The transcript has 11 exons. The record is from RefSeq and is a predicted model, not a curated record. Lineage: Eukaryota; Metazoa; Chordata; Aves; Galliformes; Phasianidae.
CUGCGGCGCCAUUUUGAAUCGGCUGCGGAUCGGAGGCAGUGGCUGCCGAGCGCGGCUCCGCACCCCCCGAGAAAAGCGGGGAGAAGGGAGCGAGGGCUGAGCAUGGCGGCGAAUCGGAACUUGAAGCAAGUGCGGAUCGAGAACAGCUCCCCAGCGGCGCCGCUGGGGAUGGUGGGGGGCGGUGGCGGCGGCCUGAAGGGGCUGCGGGGCCUGGAGACGGAGAACGAGGCGGCGGCCAUGGCGCUGGUGCCGGGCAAGGAGGGCGGGGAUGAGGAGCAGGAGGGCGGGUUCACAAUCGACAUCAAAAGCUUUCUCAAACCCGGCGAGAAGAGCUACACGCAGCGCUGCCGCCUGUUCGUGGGCAAUCUGCCCACCGACAUCACCGAGGAAGAUUUCAAGCGCCUCUUCGAGCGCUAUGGGGAGCCCAGCGAGGUCUUCAUCAACCGGGACCGCGGCUUCGGCUUCAUCCGCCUGGAAUCUAGGACACUGGCCGAAAUAGCAAAAGCAGAACUUGAUGGUACUAUUUUGAAGAGCAGACCACUUCGAAUUCGAUUUGCUACGCAUGGAGCUGCCCUAACAGUCAAGAAUCUUUCACCCGUGGUUUCUAAUGAGCUGCUGGAACAAGCAUUCUCUCAGUUUGGACCUGUGGAGAGAGCUGUAGUUGUAGUAGAUGAUCGCGGCAGAGCUACAGGAAAAGGUUUCGUAGAGUUUGCGGCAAAACCUCCGGCACGGAAAGCUCUAGAAAGAUGCAGUGAUGGUGCAUUCUUGCUAACAACAACACCUCGGCCUGUUGUUGUAGAGCCAAUGGAGCAAUUUGAUGAUGAGGAUGGGCUCCCAGAGAAGCUAAUGCAAAAAACACAACAGUACCACAAGGAAAGAGAACAGCCUCCACGUUUUGCUCAACCUGGAACAUUUGAGUUUGAGUAUGCUUCACGUUGGAAGGCUCUUGAUGAGAUGGAAAAGCAACAGCGUGAACAGGUUGACAGGAACAUUAGAGAAGCCAAAGAGAAACUAGAGGCAGAAAUGGAAGCAGCUAGACAUGAGCAUCAGCUAAUGUUGAUGAGGCAAGAUCUCAUGCGGCGUCAGGAAGAAUUGAGACGUUUGGAAGAACUUCGGAAUCAAGAACUUCAGAAACGCAAGCAGAUACAGUUGAGACAUGAAGAAGAACAUAGACGGCGUGAAGAGGAGAUGCUACGCCAGAGGGAACAGGAGGAAUUGAGACGGCAGCAGGAGGGAGGAUUUAAGCCAAAUUUCAUGGACAAUAGAGAACAGGAAAUGAGAAUGGGUGAUAUGGGUCCUCGUGGAGCAAUUAACAUGGGAGAUGCGUUUAGCCCAGCACCUGCUGGUAACCAAGGCCCUCCUCCAAUGAUGGGUAUGAAUAUGAACAACAGAGGAACUUUGCCUGGCCCUGCAAUGGGUCCUGGUCCUUCCAUGGGACCAGAAGGAGCUGCAAAUAUGGGAACACCAAUGAUGCCAGAUAAUGGAACAGUGGUUACUGUUAACAUUUUAAAAUGCUGAUGAAGACAGCCUUCUGUAGAAUCCUUCUGCUGCCUUAUGAAUACAAAAGGGAAUUCUAAACCAAGCUUUAGUACAAGGGUUGAAGGAAAUCUUGUGGUGGCCGUACAGCCUUAUCCUUGAAGAAGGCUGCAUUGAAUCCGUACAAGUUCAUCUCUUCAAGUUACAACUUAAAAGAUCACCUGAGUAGGAACCUAAAACUUGAAUCACCAUCGGAAGAGGAAGAUGGCUGCAAAAUCCAUCCCCCAGUAACAGUGUUAUGAAUGCAGGUUUUCUUCCUCUUUGCUGUAAGCCUCCCUUCAGCACCUUGAGCUUGUCAAGAUAGGAAGAAGUAUUAAACCCAACAACAGCCCUAACAAACCAACACCAUCCACCACCCUCAGUAUCACCUCUGACAACUUACUUGCUACGUCAACCCUUGGAGCAGCAUUUUGGUUAGACUGUACAGCAGUUCUGCACUGCUUUGAGAAAAUUACCCAGACACCUGUUCAAAACCUUUUUGGGCCCACCUGCACAGUCCUUCAGAGCUCAGCCCCCUCCCAGAGGCACACUGUACACAUGUACUCCUAAGCACACAAUGCAGGGACAGCCAAGGAAACAGUAACCACAGGAAAGCUGUCAUUCCACCCUAAGGAAAUGCUGAAGAACAUCUCCUAUCCACAUUCAUCUUCAGUGACUAUUUCCUAAUACCUACACUUUGAAAUUCAGAAGAGAACCAGCAGCUGCUGGUAGGGACGGUCCUGAUUCUCAGCCAGUGCUUUCUGUGCACUGCAGUGUUUAUGCAUGGGAGAGGGAGGUAUCGCAGGUUUCAGAGAGAUAAAAAUCUAUUCUAAAUUCAGACUUGUUAACACACCCAUCAAUCUGCUUGAUUGACUACCUUGAAUGACACCAGAAAUGAGCAUAUCAUGGUGCUGGUGUAGUUCUACACAGAAAAUGUAACGUUCCACAGAACUGAGACAGAUGAUAGUGUGCUUCAUUACUAAGAUUUGGCAUCUCUUAGUAUCAAAGUUUUAAACUUUCAAGAACCAGAACUUAAAAGUGGUAAGCUGAAAGUUUUAAUAUAAAGUCACAGUUCUUAAAAGGGUACAACUGAGUGCUCACCAUCAAAAUGGUGCAAAUACAUUAUUUAUCCCCAAUAGUUUCUUAAGCAAUAUAGGCACAUAGUGUCAUGUAAACUACUUGUGGCAACCAGAACAGCAAAGGCACAAUCUUUCUUUCCUUUACUUUUCAAGAUGUUGUUUAAUUUACAAAGAAAAAUACUCUACUUCAGGCAGAAGUAUUACAUUUGUAUGUUACAGCACAGAACCAUUGCAGAACUGCUGUCAUCUGAUAAAAUGGUCACUUACUUAGAGAAAUAAAAAGAUGGAUAGAUAGCAGCUCUUUGCACACAGGAUCUGAGUUCUGAAUGAGGGCAGCACCUGUUCUCAGCAGUCAGGAUGAGAACAUCUGAACUCCUCUGUACCUUUUAGCCACCUAGGAAAGCACUGCCCACAGUUAAGGUAGCAGUUAACACAUCUUCUGGUUUGCUAGUUCCAGCUAUUUGUUUUCUCACAUGCCACUUGACUAACAACUCCAAAGUUAAGAUGCCUGUAUAACUAUCAGUUGCUUCUCUAACACAAGAUUAGUUUUAAAGCACUGAUGUAACUAGGAAUCCAACCACAGUGUUCUACUCAUUGAGCCUAUCUGGACGUCCCUGUUCACUCCUGCAGACCUAACUGUCUGUUCAAAGGGAAUCACGCAGGGCUUUCACACAGGCAAUUGCUCCUGCUCUCCCACCAGGAAGCAACUGCAGGAAGUUUCAAACCAGAAUGUGAUCGCCAGCAGUUCAUGCUUAAGUGAUGCAGUGGCUUUCAGGUGUAAUUCCUGCUCACUGCUCUGAGAAUACAACAGUCCUGCAUUUUACACUGAAACAUUUCAGUUAUUUGAGUAAGUAGAAAAUUGUAGUUUACAAAUGAAAAAAGAUCCUUCUAUUUAAAAAAAAACAAGACAUUUCAUUUAGUUACCUUAAAUAGUUCUUGUGUGCACCAUUCCACAUUGUGGAAAAGCUGAAAUAUGCAGUCUGGACUCAACAAGUUAAAGAAAGACAGCAUUGUAUGUAUUGGCACAAAUACUUACAUCUAUGUCUGUACAAAUCAAAAAAGAGCUGACAACCCUGUCCCAACCAGCACAGCGUAUUCAGCUGCUCUCCAAUACGUACUUUCCUAUAUGACUGCCAACAAACAACAUGAAGAUGGGAACUUGGGACUAAGAGUGUGGUGCCAAAAAGUUCCAAACUGCUUUGUCAGUCUCUAAACAGAGGACUCAGAAGAAUAUCCCAGAGGUGUCAGGCCGCUCAACAGGCUCGCAACUGUGAGGUCACUGCAGCUGUACUCUGUAUGCUCCUAUUAGCAGCUUCACCUGUAAAAGCAAACACAGGUUUGACAUGAAGAUGGGAGCAUUCAACAAACCACAUGGCAUGUUUAACUGCAAGCACACAGAUUACAGGAGGUAUAGCACAGCAGAUCACAGAAUCAUAGAAUGGUCUGCGUGAAAAGGACCACAAUGAUCAUUGAGUUUCAACCCCCUGCUAUGU